Molecule: ribosomal RNA, 900 nt
Filed under: uncultured bacterium
Lineage: Bacteria
Description: bacterial SSU rRNA
Rfam family: Bacterial small subunit ribosomal RNA
Source: RNAcentral
AGAGUUUGAUCCUGGCUCAGAUUGAACGCUGGCGGCAGGCUUAACACAUGCAAGUCGAGCGGAAGUUCGGUCUUAGCGGCGAACGGGUGAGGAAUGCCUGGGAAUCUGCCUGUUAGUGGGGGAUAACGAAUCGAAAGGUUCGCUAAUACCGCAUACGUCCUACGGGAGAAAGCAGGGGACCUUCGGGCCUUGCGCUAACAGAUGAGCCCAGGUCGGAUUAGCUAGUACGUGGGGUAAAGGCUCACCUAGGCGACGAUCCGUAGCUGGUCUGAGAGGAUGAUCAGCCACACUGGAACUGAGACACGGUCCAGACUCCUACGGGAGGCAGCAGUGGGGAAUAUUGGACAAUGGGGGCAACCCUGAUCCAGCCAUGCCGCGUGUGUGAAGAAGGCCUUCGGGUUGUAAAGCACUUUAAGCGGGGAGGAAGGCCUUGGGAUUAGUACUCCUGAGGAUUGACGUUACCCGCAGAAUAAGCACCGGCUAACUCUGUGCCAGCAGCCGCGGUAAUACAGAGGGUGCAAGCGUUAAUCGGAAUUACUGGGCGUAAAGCGCGCGUAGGCGGUUUGUUAAGUCGGAUGUGAAAUCCCCGGGCUCAACCUGGGCACGGCAUCCGAUACUGGCUGACUAGAGUGUGGGAGAGGAAGGUAGAAUUCCAGGUGUAGCGGUGAAAUGCGUAGAGAUCUGGAGGAAUACCGAUGGCGAAGGCAGCCUUCUGGCCUAACACUGACGCUGAGGUGCGAAAGCAUGGGGAGCAAACAGGAUUAGAUACCCUGGUAGUCCAUGCCGUAAACGAUGUCAACUAGCCGUUGGGGACCUUGAGUCUUUAGUGGCGCAGCUAACGCGAUAAGUUGACCGCCUGGGGAGUACGGCCGCAAGGUUAAAACUCAAAGGAAUUGACGG